RNAcentral lists this ribosomal RNA (238 nucleotides) under uncultured bacterium. Its description in RNAcentral is "partial 16S ribosomal RNA". It matches the Rfam family "Bacterial small subunit ribosomal RNA", at positions 118 to 353 of the family's 1533-position model. The record is from RNAcentral.
UGAGCAAUCUGCCCUUCUCUUCGGAAUAAGCGUUGGAAACGACGUCUAAUGCCGAAUACGACCUCCUUUCGCAUGAUCGGAGGUGGAAAGCUCCGGCGGAGAAGGAUGAGCUCGCGGCCUAUCAGCUAGUUGGUGUGGGUAAUGGCCCACCAAGGCGACGACGGGUAGCCGGCCUGAGAGGGUGACCCGGCCACACUGGGACUGAGACACGGCCCAGACCUCCGUACGGGAGGNAGCG